Molecule: long non-coding RNA, 312 nt
Organism: Sceloporus undulatus (fence lizard)
Lineage: Eukaryota; Metazoa; Chordata; Lepidosauria; Squamata; Phrynosomatidae
Exons: 2
Source: RefSeq, a predicted model, not a curated record
UUCUCCUAGUGAAUCUUCUAACCAAAUUUGGAUGGCGAAUGGUGCACAAUGAACUCUGUUUGGCUUGUGUUUCCCUGGCAAACAUAACCUUUCUGAACUUGUGCUCCCAGAUAGUUUGGACAGCAUGCAGCGACCGCUGUGCAAAAGAUAGCCAGGAGAAAGGAGAAAAAAUGAAGUUACUGGUGGAUGCAAUGCUUUCUCCACUUGACAACUUAUAUUGUUCACUCUCCAGGAAAGUGCUGACCUAUUCAAUGACUGGCAAUCCCUGGACAGUCAUGUGUCUAUAAAUAAGCCCUCUUUUCCUCCCUUGGC